UGGGUUCUUAACCGAUCAAAAUCGGGUAGCUAAAUUAAGAAACUAGGGUUCCUUUAGCUCACGAUCUCAGCCUUCAUUACCUCUUAUCCCAAAUUCUCUUCUUUCCUUUUCGAUUUCAUCUCCCCCCUCCCCCUCUCUCUCUCAUCGGCGAUCUCAACUCACCGGUGGCUAUCACCUAAGCCUCUUCCUCCCAAUCGGUUGUCUCUCUUCUCUGGUUUGCUUUCUUGAUUAAAGGGCACGAAGACCCACAUUCCUUCUUCUUCUCGACUUGGGGAUUUUGAGUAGUGAUUUGCCAGCGACGAAAAAUCAGGUUUGAUCUCGUACUCUCUCCCCCUGUCUUUUUGCUUCUUAGUUUGAUUUGGGUUUAAUCCUUUUCUUAUAAUCCUCUAGUUUCAGAGAUGGAAUACUUGGAGGAAGAGAGAACUAGCAAGAGCAACGCUAGUAAGAUCUGAUUCUACCAAGUUUGAUUCUUUUAUUUUUUUAUUUGGAUUCAUUUAUCUCCCUAUUUUAUGACCUUCUCUCAUGUUCCGUCUGUCGAUCUAGAGGACAUGAAGCUAGCCCUUAUUCGACUUGAUUUGAUUGAUUUAUGACUGGAUUGAUAUAUGAUUGGAUGAGCUAGGAAGGAUUUUCGUGUUUUGUUUCUCAAUCAGGCCAUUCGGGUCCAUUCACUUGUUUCCUAGAGUUGUGUCAAAGGUUGCAGAUAUCCUUUGGAUAGAGAAUUCAAAGAAAGCGAAUGGUUGGAGUUGGAGGUCAAACAGAGGUAGGACGGGGAAGAUAUGGGCAAAAUACAAUUUUGACCAGUUUGAAAGUUGACCAAACCGAGUUGUAUCCUCAAAGUAGCACUAUUUAAGCCCAUUUGGGUGGACAUGUGGAGAAUAAUCUGUCAUAACAAUUAGAUAGAAUCCGAUUUUGGUCUCUCUUUUCCCUUCUUUUGGAACCCUAAAAGAGGAACUUCAAAAUCAAUUGGAGCUUCGAUUGGAGUGCUUGAAGGCUAGAGUGAAGAUCAAAGGAGCUUUCAUCACCUUCCUUUACCUUGAGCUAGGAUGGUGAUUCUAGCUCUUAUUCCUUGUUGUAGUUUAAUCAUGUUUGGACAGACCAUUUAUUGUUAGAUUGGGGUUGAUGUGGAUGCUAGGAUGAUCCCUUCACGUUGAGGAGUUGGACAUAUUGGAUGCUUAUAUGAUUAAUGGUGUGCUUGGAUGUCAGUGUUUCCAACCUAAUUGUGCUAUGGUUUGAAUUAGGUCAAAUCAAUCAUUUCCUUUGCAUGAUCUUUGUUUAGAAUUGUGUUAGAAGUUAAUCAUGGAUUGAAGUAAGGUGUUUAUGGACCAAGCCACACCCUAAUUCAACCAUUCUUGCUAAGGUUUCUUUAGGGGCUUUUCAUCAAGCACUUAGCGGGCAUUUCAUAAGUCACUCAACUGAGUGACACGAUUGAGGGAUGGGAUGUCAAAUGGUGACUUAGCACCCUAUCCAACUCUUUCUAAAGUCAUUAGGUUAUCUGAACACCUAGACCUUCCAUGAAACACCUUGUGUUCAUUACUAAUUGCUUGAUUGAGAAUAGACCAAGCCUCAAUUGAGGGGUCUAGUGAUGGUAGUCCAUAUGCAUGACCUUGCUACGGAUUCUUGCAAGUGUCUAUGUGUCCAGCCUAUCUUGUUUGUGUGAUUUGAGCAUCUACUAAACCCAUAAUCUAGCAACUUCGCACUCAUAGCUUACUCUUGAUACUUUUUGUACUCGUUCAGUUAGUUGAUUCGAAUUGCAUGCUUGUUAAUGAAUGUUAGUAAAACUAGUUAGUAAUCGUAGAUCACCCCUUGAAAACUCUUUGUGGGUUGAACUGUGCACCAAAAUGUUGAGUAAAAGUUAGUGAACGACCCUCAAAACAAUAAUGACACUAUUGCUAAAUUAGAGAUUGGUUAGCAACCUUUCUCUAGCCAAUCACAGUACCUGCUAGCGAUAUUUCCUAGGAAUUCCCCCACCAAUUUCGAGAAGUAACCACUUGGGAGCUCAUGGAUUUGAAUUAAGAAAGGGACCUUGUGCAGCUCCACCUACUUUGUUCUUCUCUCACACGUACCUCAUGAAGUACUAGGAGGCUGCCAUUAUAGAGUCAGGGCCCAUUAGUUAGGAUUCGUUGCAAAUCAAGCUCAUGAUGGAAACGGAAUAGGUACAUGCCCCCGCGUAGAUCCUCCACUUAUAUUAUACGUCUCGGUUUCCAACUGAUCGCCAUAGUGUGUUUCAUAGCGGUGAAAUUGAAUGACCUUGUCUCCCAUAAAGGAUCCGACCAAGCAUAGGGGGUAGGCAUGGGGUGGUGGGAUUGGGAUCCGUUUUGUUAGCAGCGAUUCCUCGUCAUUACUCUCCGCCAGUGUCAUAUUUUGGACCUGGAGGGAAACUAUCUCAUCCGGCGAUAAGAUCACCGUCUAGGGCGGUGAGGUGUUUUUCCGGUUCAGAUCGGGCUGUUGUGGAAUCCCACCAGAUGCAACUUCAUUGGUCGUAGUCGACACAACUGAGAUGUGAGACAUCGUAAAUACUUGUGCUGCCCCUGGAGAGAGACCGUCGAUGGGUUUCGCCGCCGGUUGGGGCGAUUGGGCAUGUCCUGCUGUAGGCACCGUGAUAUUUCCUUAUGGAGAAGACGAGAAGCAGAUGGAGGAGGGAGAAAGCGGAAAAAGAAAGAUGUUGCUGGUUAUCGAUUGCCCAUUGCCGAUGGAAGAGGAAGAAAGCAAACGAAGGAACUUACUCUUAGGUUUUUGAUUGUCGGGGGCGGAGGAAGGAAGCCGACCACACUCGCCGAGUCGAGAAUAAGAGACUAGCGAUGGUGGACUGGAGGAAUCGAGGAGGAAGGAACCUUGGAGAAAUCCCUCAUUCCAGCUAGGGAAUAUCUAUCUAACUUUAAUGACAUUUGGAAUUGAAUUAGUUUAGGAUUUCGGUUCUCCGGAUCCCUAACAAUAUUUACCGUUUUCCGUUUUUUAAAACCCGCACCGAAUAAGAGGAGUUUGUUUCUGAGAUUUGGGUUCCCGGUAUCAUAAUAUUUCAUGAAAUAUCAAAACGGGAAUAAGAAAUCUCGAAUCCCGUUUCCCAAUUUUACACCCCUACAAAUUUGACAAGACUUUACAUUAAGUUCAAAGAUUGGCAACGGGUAGGGUAAGUCACGGGUACCCCUUACCCAUUCCCUGCCCAUUUGCUAAACAGGUUUCACCCAUAUCCGACCCAUUUAAUUAACGGGUGUUUAAUUUAUACUAGUCUCUUUAAGAAUCGGGUGUCGGAGUCCCUAACACUCAUGGGUUUAAUCCAUCUAACACGACCCACCUAUAAAACAAAACCAUUCAGACCAACAUACUCAUCUUAUUAAUCCAAAGAAAGAAACCUCUUAAAAAUAAAAUCCAUCACUGAAACUGAAGCUGUCUAAAACUAAGCGAAAUCAAAAAUUGAUUGUGACACCCCCGAGUUUUGGUUCGGUUACAAUUUCGGUUUGAUUUAAAUCUUACUUGUUGAGUAGAAGUCGGAAGUUGGAAACCGAAUUAAUUUAAUUAAUUCAAGGAGUUCAGUAGUUGAUCAAGUAUUAAAGGCUUGUAAGACUCAGGAUAAUUAUCGGGUUGAAUAAGUUAAUCGGAGAGGGAGUUAAGUAUUUGAAUUGUGAGCUUGGAGGAAUCUAGGCCAUUAGAUGGAUGUAAUGGUGAGGAAGGAGUUUGAUCCAUUCAAGAGAAGGAAAGUGGGCUGCCAUUUGAAUAGAGAUGGAAAUGCAUAUGUGGUCCAUGGGGCCAAUUGAAUUUGUUGUGACGUGAUGUGCUUGGGUCAUUGGAUUGAUACGAUGGACAAACUAGGCCCGUGAUCAUUCAAGAAUUGGAGUUGAGAUUAAGUCGUCUCCCCCCAACCUAAUCAUGAACAUGGAACACAGAGAGGGAUUACACCGCCACCGUCACUUUGACAUGGAGAGGAACAAGAAUCGACCCCGUCAAUAGAGGAUCUUUAGGAGAUGGCGAUCGAUGGAGGAACGUGAAUCGAGCCUUUUCGCCGAAGAAGAAGAAGGACCAACCUACAAGUCUUGGAAGUUAAGUGACCAGUUGGUAAUGUUCCCAGAAAGAUAAGAGUUUUGCUUUCAUAGUUCUAAACUUUUGGAUGGUUUACAGUUAAGGACUUGUAUCAGUUUUGUCAACGACUGGAAGUAACUAAUGCAGUUAGAGGACUAGUGCAACCUUUCUGUCCCAACAAAUUUCAUAAUGUUGCAAAGAAGUAAAUAGAGCAUAACUCAAUGGUUUGGACUCCAAAAGACACACAGUCAGAAGCUAUAGACUCGUGGUAGUGAGAGGAAUCAUGUCAACUUAGAAACAAUAAUGUAAGCUCUUCCUAAUAGGUGGGUUUUUGGAUUACUUUUCUUCUUUAAGCGUAGAACCCUAGUUAGGUUGUGAGGAAUCCAAAGAUCAAAUUUCAUAUGAUUCGGAGCCGGGUUCUUAGGACUUUACAACAGCAUGUGAUCAAUUGUACAUGUAUUUAUGUUAUGAUAUAGAGCAAGGCGUUAGGACUAUGCAGUAUCUUGUGUUCUAUUAUACAGGUGUUUAUGAUAUGAUAUAGAGCGAGGCUCUCGGGACUGUACAGUUGCUUGUGAUCUACUAUAUAUGCAUUUAUUAUUCAAGCAUAAUCUCAUGACUUUUGAACUAUGAUGCACAGUUCAUGAUUAGGACACGAUCAGGUUUAACUAGAAUAGUUUUUUAUAUGCGUUGGUCACCCUCCUAUAGAGUGUGCAAUCCCCCAGGUUAUAAUCAGGCUCAGCCAGGACGUGUUGACUAUGCCUACAGAUGCUGCUCACACAGUAUUUAGACUGGUUUCAUGGCCUGAUCCACCAUAAGGUCGUCCGUUCACAGUUAGGGGUGGCUGAUGCUAGGUUGAUCCCUAUAGGACCACAAGGUCACAUUAUUAGUUUCAAUGUUUGAUAGACUUCUUGUUCUAUCAUCAGUACAGUCUCAAUAGAGACUCAAUAUAUUCUCAGUGCAGUUCUAGUGUAGUGUCAGCUCUAUGCAAGUCUGGCUUAGUCUCUUAGUGCUUAUCACUGACCCCUUUAGAUAUUGUUUUUCUUGGUGUAUAUGUGUGUUCAGUCUCAGGUACUGGAGCUGAUGAUGGAGAGAGAGCUGGUCGGAGUUUUGAUAUCAGAUGAUAUAUGUUUUUGAUGUAUUUUUAGUACUGGAGUUGGAUCUCAUUUUUUUGUUGAGUUUUGGGAUUCGGGAUCCUACUUGGUCAGUUUUAUUAAAGUUUUUCCAUUGAAGCUCUUAAUGUGUGUUUUAAUGCUUUGGUUAGUAGUUUAGAGUUGAGUUACGGUUCAAGUAGAAAUCCGAGUAGGUUUCUUCAUAUGAACCAGUGGUUCGACCGAGGCUCUUAGGGUCGGGUUUCACACUGAUAAAGAUAAGAACUGAAUGUGGAUCAGUCUAAACUAUUUGACCAACUCUUGAAACUGAGAAACAGAAGAAUUAAAA
This 5451-nucleotide long non-coding RNA is filed under the name Linum usitatissimum (flax). RNAcentral describes it as "long non-coding RNA (LUSI_LNC005015)". Lineage: Eukaryota; Viridiplantae; Streptophyta; Magnoliopsida; Malpighiales; Linaceae. The record is from RNAcentral.